RNAcentral lists this ribosomal RNA (922 nucleotides) under uncultured Flavobacteriia bacterium. RNAcentral's name for it is "bacterial SSU rRNA". It matches the Rfam family "Bacterial small subunit ribosomal RNA", at positions 74 to 990 of the family's 1533-position model. The record is from RNAcentral. Lineage: Bacteria; Pseudomonadati; Bacteroidota; Flavobacteriia.
AUUAGCUUGCUAAUUUGCUGACGAGUGGCGCACGGGUGCGUAACGCGUAUACAAUCUGCCUUUAAGCGGGGAAUAGCCCAUGGAAACGUGGAUUAAUACCCCAUAGUAUGUAGACUUCACCUGGAGAUUACAUUAAACAUUUAUGGCUUAAAGAUGAGUAUGCGUCCUAUUAGUUAGUUGGUAAGGUAACGGCUUACCAAGACCGCGAUAGGUAGGGGUCCUGAGAGGGAGAUCCCCCACACUGGUACUGAGACACGGACCAGACUCCUACGGGAGGCAGCAGUGAGGAAUAUUGGACAAUGGAGGCAACUCUGAUCCAGCCAUGCCGCGUGCAGGAAGACGGCCCUAUGGGUUGUAAACUGCUUUUAUACGGGAAGAACCACAUCUACGUGUAGAUGCUUGACGGUACCGUAUGAAUAAGGACCGGCUAACUCCGUGCCAGCAGCCGCGGUAAUACGGAGGGUCCAAGCGUUAUCCGGAAUCAUUGGGUUUAAAGGGUCCGUAGGCGGGAUAAUAAGUCAGUGGUGAAAGUCUGCAGCUCAACUGUAGAAUUGCCAUUGAUACUGUUGUUCUUGAAUUAUUAUGAAGUGGUUGGAAUGAGUAGUGUAGCGGUGAAAUGCAUAGAUAUUACUCAGAACACCUAUUGCGAAGGCAGAUCACUAAUAAUAUAUUGACGCUGAGGGACGAAAGCGUAGGUAGCGAACAGGAUUAGAUACCCUGGUAGUCUACGCCGUAAACGAUGGUUACUAGCUGUUCGGCUCGAUUGAGAGCUGAGUGGUUAAGCGAAAGUGAUAAGUAACCCACCUGGGGAGUACGUUCGCAAGAAUGAAACUCAAAGGAAUUGACGGGGGCCCGCACAAGCGGUGGAGCAUGUGGUUUAAUUCGAUGAUACGCGAGGAACCUUACCAGGGCUUAAAUGCAG